This 497-nucleotide ribosomal RNA is filed under the name uncultured bacterium. RNAcentral describes it as "partial 16S ribosomal RNA". It matches the Rfam family "Bacterial small subunit ribosomal RNA", at positions 28 to 507 of the family's 1533-position model. The record is from RNAcentral.
GAUGAACGCUGGCGGCGUGCCUAAUACAUGCAAGUCGAGCGAACAGACGAGGAGCUUGCUCCUCUGACGUUAGCGGCGGACGGGUGAGUAACACGUGGAUAACCUACCUAUAAGACUGGGAUAACUUCGGGAAACCGGAGCUAAUACCGGAUAAUAUAUUGAACCGCAUGGUUCAAUAGUGAAAGACGGUUUUGCUGUCACUUAUAGAUGGAUCCGCGCCGCAUUAGCUAGUUGGUAAGGUAACGGCUUACCAAGGCGACGAUGCGUAGCCGACCUGAGAGGGUGAUCGGCCACACUGGAACUGAGACACGGUCCAGACUCCUACGGGAGGCAGCAGUAGGGAAUCUUCCGCAAUGGGCGAAAGCCUGACGGAGCAACGCCGCGUGAGUGAUGAAGGUCUUCGGAUCGUAAAACUCUGUUAUUAGGGAAGAACAAAUGUGUAAGUAACUAUGCACGUCUUGACCGUACCUAAUCAGAAAGCCACGGCUAACUACGUG